RNAcentral lists this ribosomal RNA (2922 nucleotides) under Staphylococcus aureus M0414. Its description in RNAcentral is "bacterial LSU rRNA". It matches the Rfam family "Bacterial large subunit ribosomal RNA". Lineage: Bacteria; Bacillati; Bacillota; Bacilli; Caryophanales; Staphylococcaceae. The record is from RNAcentral.
UUAAGUUAUUAAGGGCGCACGGUGGAUGCCUUGGCACUAGAAGCCGAUGAAGGACGUUACUAACGACGAUAUGCUUUGGGGAGCUGUAAGUAAGCUUUGAUCCAGAGAUUUCCGAAUGGGGAAACCCAGCAUGAGUUAUGUCAUGUUAUCGAUAUGUGAAUACAUAGCAUAUCAGAAGGCACACCCGGAGAACUGAAACAUCUUAGUACCCGGAGGAAGAGAAAGAAAAUUCGAUUCCCUUAGUAGCGGCGAGCGAAACGGGAAGAGCCCAAACCAAAAAGCUUGCUUGUUGGGGUUGUAGGACACUCUAUACGGAGUUACAAAGGACGACAUUAGACGAAUCAUCUGGAAAGAUGAAUCAAAGAAGGUAAUAAUCCUGUAGUCGAAAAUGUUGUCUCUCUUGAGUGGAUCCUGAGUACGACGGAGCACGUGAAAUUCCGUCGGAAUCUGGGAGGACCAUCUCCUAAGGCUAAAUACUCUCUAGUGACCGAUAGUGAACCAGUACCGUGAGGGAAAGGUGAAAAGCACCCCGGAAGGGGAGUGAAAUAGAACCUGAAACCGUGUGCUUACAAGUAGUCAGAGCCCGUUAAUGGGUGAUGGCGUGCCUUUUGUAGAAUGAACCGGCGAGUUACGAUUUGAUGCAAGGUUAAGCAGUAAAUGUGGAGCCGUAGCGAAAGCGAGUCUGAAUAGGGCGUUUAGUAUUUGGUCGUAGACCCGAAACCAGGUGAUCUACCCUUGGUCAGGUUGAAGUUCAGGUAACACUGAAUGGAGGACCGAACCGACUUACGUUGAAAAGUGAGCGGAUGAACUGAGGGUAGCGGAGAAAUUCCAAUCGAACCUGGAGAUAGCUGGUUCUCUCCGAAAUAGCUUUAGGGCUAGCCUCAAGUGAUGAUUAUUGGAGGUAGAGCACUGUUUGGACGAGGGGCCCCUCUCGGGUUACCGAAUUCAGACAAACUCCGAAUGCCAAUUAAUUUAACUUGGGAGUCAGAACAUGGGUGAUAAGGUCCGUGUUCGAAAGGGAAACAGCCCAGACCACCAGCUAAGGUCCCAAAAUAUAUGUUAAGUGGAAAAGGAUGUGGCGUUGCCCAGACAACUAGGAUGUUGGCUUAGAAGCAGCCAUCAUUUAAAGAGUGCGUAAUAGCUCACUAGUCGAGUGACACUGCGCCGAAAAUGUACCGGGGCUAAACAUAUUACCGAAGCUGUGGAUUGUCCUUUGGACAAUGGUAGGAGAGCGUUCUAAGGGCGUUGAAGCAUGAUCGUAAGGACAUGUGGAGCGCUUAGAAGUGAGAAUGCCGGUGUGAGUAGCGAAAGACGGGUGAGAAUCCCGUCCACCGAUUGACUAAGGUUUCCAGAGGAAGGCUCGUCCGCUCUGGGUUAGUCGGGUCCUAAGCUGAGGCCGACAGGCGUAGGCGAUGGAUAACAGGUUGAUAUUCCUGUACCACCUAUAAUCGUUUUAAUCGAUGGGGGGGACGCAGUAGGAUAGGCGAAGCGUGCGAUUGGAUUGCACGUCUAAGCAGUAAGGCUGAGUAUUAGGCAAAUCCGGUACUCGUUAAGGCUGAGCUGUGAUGGGGAGAAGACAUUGAGUCUUCGAGUCGUUGAUUUCACACUGCCGAGAAAAGCCUCUAGAUAGAAAAUAGGUGCCCGUACCGCAAACCGACACAGGUAGUCAAGAUGAGAAUUCUAAGGUGAGCGAGCGAACUCUCGUUAAGGAACUCGGCAAAAUGACCCCGUAACUUCGGGAGAAGGGGUGCUCUUUAGGGUUAACGCCCAGAAGAGCCGCAGUGAAUAGGCCCAAGCGACUGUUUAUCAAAAACACAGGUCUCUGCUAAACCGUAAGGUGAUGUAUAGGGGCUGACGCCUGCCCGGUGCUGGAAGGUUAAGAGGAGUGGUUAGCUUCUGCGAAGCUACGAAUCGAAGCCCCAGUAAACGGCGGCCGUAACUAUAACGGUCCUAAGGUAGCGAAAUUCCUUGUCGGGUAAGUUCCGACCCGCACGAAAGGCGUAACGAUUUGGGCACUGUCUCAACGAGAGACUCGGUGAAAUCAUAGUACCUGUGAAGAUGCAGGUUACCCGCGACAGGACGGAAAGACCCCGUGGAGCUUUACUGUAGCCUGAUAUUGAAAUUCGGCACAGCUUGUACAGGAUAGGUAGGAGCCUUUGAAACGUGAGCGCUAGCUUACGUGGAGGCGCUGGUGGGAUACUACCCUAGCUGUGUUGGCUUUCUAACCCGCACCACUUAUCGUGGUGGGAGACAGUGUCAAGCGGGCAGUUUGACUGGGGCGGUCGCCUCCUAAAAGGUAACGGAGGCGCUCAAAGGUUCCCUCAGAAUGGUUGGAAAUCAUUCAUAGAGUGUAAAGGCAUAAGGGAGCUUGACUGCGAGACCUACAAGUCGAGCAGGGUCGAAAGACGGACUUAGUGAUCCGGUGGUUCCGCAUGGAAGGGCCAUCGCUCAACGGAUAAAAGCUACCCCGGGGAUAACAGGCUUAUCUCCCCCAAGAGUUCACAUCGACGGGGAGGUUUGGCACCUCGAUGUCGGCUCAUCGCAUCCUGGGGCUGUAGUCGGUCCCAAGGGUUGGGCUGUUCGCCCAUUAAAGCGGUACGCGAGCUGGGUUCAGAACGUCGUGAGACAGUUCGGUCCCUAUCCGUCGUGGGCGUAGGAAAUUUGAGAGGAGCUGUCCUUAGUACGAGAGGACCGGGAUGGACAUACCUCUGGUGUACCAGUUGUCGUGCCAACGGCAUAGCUGGGUAGCUAUGUGUGGACGGGAUAAGUGCUGAAAGCAUCUAAGCAUGAAGCCCCCCUCAAGAUGAGAUUUCCCAACUUCGGUUAUAAGAUCCCUCAAAGAUGAUGAGGUUAAUAGGUUCGAGGUGGAAGCAUGGUGACAUGUGGAGCUGACGAAUACUAAUCGAUCGAAGACUUAAUCAA